GACGAACGCUGGCGGCGUGCCUAAUACAUGCAAGUCGAGCGGAUCUUCAUUAGCUUGCUUUUGAAGACCAGCGGCGGACGGGUGAGUAACACGUGGGCAACCUGCCUGUAAGACUGGGAUAACUUCGGGAAACCGGAGCUAAUACCGGAUAAUCCUUUCCCUCACAUGAGGGAAAGCUGAAAGACGGUUUCGGCUGUCACUUACAGAUGGGCCCGCGGCGCAUUAGCUAGUUGGUGAGGUAAUGGCUAACCAAGGCGACGAUGAGUAGCCGACCUGAGAGGGUGAUCGGCCACACUGGGACUGAGACACGGCCCAGACUCCUACGGGAGGCAGCAGUAGGGAAUCUUCCGCAAUGGACGAAAGUCUGACGGAGCAACGCCGCGUGAGCGAUGAAGGCCUUCGGGUCGUAAAGCUCUGUUGUCAGGGAAGAACAAGUAUCGGAGUAACUGCCGGUACCUUGACGGUACCUGACCAGAAAGCCACGGCUAACUACGUGCCAGCAGCCGCAGUAA
Molecule: ribosomal RNA, 512 nt
Filed under: uncultured bacterium
Lineage: Bacteria
Description: partial 16S ribosomal RNA
Rfam family: Bacterial small subunit ribosomal RNA
Source: RNAcentral